UGGCUCUGGCAUCGAUGAAGAACGCAGCGAAAUGCGAUAAGUAAUGUGAAUUGCAGAAUUCAGUGAAUCAUCGAAUCUUUGAACGCACAUUGCGCCCGCCAGUAUUCUGGCGGGCAUGCCUGUCCGAGCGUCAUUUCAACCCUCAAGCCCCCGGGCUUGGUGUUGGAGAUCGGCGAGCCCUCCGGGGCGAGCCGCCUCCCAAAUUUAGUGGCGGUCUCGCUGUAGCUUCCUCUGCGUAGUAGCACACCUCGCACUGGGAAACAGCGUGGCCACGCCGUAAAACCCCCCACUUCUGAAAGGUUGACCUCGGAUCAGGUAGGAAUACCCGCUGA
Molecule: unclassified non-coding RNA, 332 nt
Filed under: uncultured fungus
Lineage: Eukaryota; Fungi
Description: partial contains 5.8S ribosomal RNA and internal transcribed spacer 2
Rfam family: 5.8S ribosomal RNA (bases 1-133)
Source: RNAcentral